GCAAACCCACAAAAGCAAGCCUGGGCUGCCAGGGUCCUCCGCGCCUGCUCUCCCUCGACUGCAGCAGUCCCUAAACUCCCCUCUUGGGAAACCGUGCCAGUUUUCUACAUGGAAAACUAUCAUCAUGUUCAUACAGAUGGGGAAACUGAGGCAUUAGAGAGGCCAAGUGACUUGCCCAAGGUCACAGGUCUACGCGAUGGCUGGAUCUACCUGGACGUUACUUGCUAACUUCUGAUCCGUGAUCCCGUUUAGCGUGCUGCCCUAAAAGCCAGGUGAAAACGACCCAGAGGGUGGGAG
Dromaius novaehollandiae (emu) is the source of this 297-nucleotide long non-coding RNA. RefSeq lists it as uncharacterized. The transcript is spliced from 3 exons. The record is from RefSeq and is a predicted model, not a curated record. NCBI's taxonomy places the organism in Eukaryota, Metazoa, Chordata, Aves, Casuariiformes, Dromaiidae.